Eleginops maclovinus (Patagonian blennie) is the source of this 945-nucleotide long non-coding RNA. RefSeq lists it as uncharacterized. The transcript has 7 exons. NCBI's taxonomy places the organism in Eukaryota, Metazoa, Chordata, Actinopteri, Perciformes, Eleginopidae. The record is from RefSeq and is a predicted model, not a curated record.
UGGGAGCACUAUCGGAUACGCCCCUAAUCAAUGACGCGACCGCAGUGACAGUAACUAGUGUAACGCUGGCCAUGCAGGGGAGGCAGUCUGAUAUUCUAUUGAAGAGAAGCCUCAGUAGUGACGAUGCAACAUGAUCACAGAAUUUGUAUCAGCCUGCGCUGCAAGCCAGUAGAGGGAGUCCAAGACUUGAAUCGUUUUUACCCAUUCGAUUCUGCCAGGAGCUCAGCCCGUGAAUCAGAUGGUCAUGCCGCCUUAACUGCAACACAAAAUGGCCCCUUUGGACUUGGCUGAGGUCAGCGGCGGAGGAGUACGCCACGCUGAGAGGUGUGAUGUGGCUCUGUUGGUUUGACCCACACCUGCUGCGUAUCCUUCACUCAAGCACUGGAGGGACAGAUGAUGUGUUCCUGCUUUUUCUUUUACUCAAAAGAAAAAAGAAGGAACUAUGUCCUGACCCUCCGGCUGGCCUGAAACAGUGACUCAUCAGCUGUAGCGCCUGUCAUCUCGUCAUCAAUGGUAGCAGAUUGACUAGAAACCAGUUUUACAGCUACACUACAGAGGGCCUGUUGCUACACACGUAACAUGUGGCUGCUAUUUUUAAGGUGUGAAAUGCAUUUGUCUUCAGCCCCGUUGAUGUUUCUGAUGACAGCUGCCAUCUCUACAAAUAGCCUGGGAUGUGGUGAGAACAUUCACAGCCCUGUCCUACGCUGCCUCGCUCUCAACAUCAAGCACGUCUGGAGUGGGAGUUAAAGAUGUGGCUACACUGAGACAGAUAUUUUACCAUUCACUAUUCGGCAGCGGAUGAAGAAGAAUACAAGUAUAAUAUACUGUUUGUUUACCCGUACCCAUGAGGGAUCGCACCAGGCAUGGUGCAACAUCCCUUUUUUAUUAUAGUAGUAGCUGUGGGAGAUUUUUUAAAGAAUGUACUGUAUGCAGUCACUAUCUGCA